RNAcentral lists this ribosomal RNA (372 nucleotides) under uncultured Leptolinea sp. RNAcentral's name for it is "bacterial SSU rRNA". It matches the Rfam family "Bacterial small subunit ribosomal RNA", at positions 992 to 1382 of the family's 1533-position model. The record is from RNAcentral. Lineage: Bacteria; Bacillati; Chloroflexota; Anaerolineae; Anaerolineales; Anaerolineaceae.
GUUAGGGAACUGAAAGGGACGACCUUCGGGAGCCGUAUACAGGUGUUGCAUGGCUGUCGUCAGCUCGUGUCGUGAGAUGUUCGGUUAAGUCCGCUAACGAGCGCAACCCUCGCUGUGUGUUACAAGUGUCACACGGUACUGCCGGUCUUAAGCCGGAGGAAGGUGGGGAUGACGUCAAGUCAGCAUGGCCUUUAUGUCCUGGGCUACACACACGCUACAAUGGCCAACACAAUAGGUUGCUAAGCCGCGAGGUGGAGCCAAUCCUCAAAGUUGGUCUCAGUUCAGAUUGCAGGCUGCAACCCGCCUGCAUGAAGAUGGAGUUGCUAGUAACCGCAGGUCAGCUAUACUGCGGUGAAUACGUUCCCGGGGCUU